GACGAACGCUGGCGGCGUGCUUAACACAUGCAAGUCGAACGGAAAGGCCCUGCUUUUGUGGGGUGCUCGAGUGGCGAACGGGUGAGUAACACGUGAGUAACCUGCCCUUGACUUUGGGAUAACUUCAGGAAACUGGGGCUAAUACCGGAUAGGAGCUCCUGCUUCAUGGUGGGGGUUGGAAAGUUUCGGCGGUUGGGGAUGGACUCGCGGCUUAUCAGCUUGUUGGUGGGGUAGUGGCUUACCAAGGCUUUGACGGGUAGCCGGCCUGAGAGGGUGACCGGCCACAUUGGGACUGAGAUACGGCCCAGCCUCCUACGGGAGGCAGCAGUGGGGAAUAUUGCACAAUGGGCGGAAGCCUGAUGCAGCAACGCCGCGUGCGGGAUGAUGGCCUUCGGGUUGUAAACCGCUUUCGCCUGUGACGAAGCGUGAGUGACGGUAAUGGGUAAAGAAGCACCGGCUAACUACGUG
This 468-nucleotide ribosomal RNA is filed under the name uncultured bacterium. RNAcentral's name for it is "partial 16S ribosomal RNA". It matches the Rfam family "Bacterial small subunit ribosomal RNA", at positions 28 to 507 of the family's 1533-position model. The record is from RNAcentral.